RNAcentral lists this long non-coding RNA (542 nucleotides) under Salvia miltiorrhiza (redroot sage). RNAcentral's name for it is "long non-coding RNA (SMIL_LNC007743)". The record is from RNAcentral. Lineage: Eukaryota; Viridiplantae; Streptophyta; Magnoliopsida; Lamiales; Lamiaceae.
CUUGAAUUACCCCCAAUUGAAAAGCAAAAACAAAAAAUUGAAUCAAAACUAGAUCUUUCCCAAGGAUCCCCAGUUGGAGAGCAAAUUUCUUUCUCGAUUGUUGAGGGGUUGUACCUUGGCCUUUAAUUUUUGAGAAUCUAGGAGCACAAGGGCUGAAGCUUCCUCAGGCUUUGCCGAUGCUGUUCAAUCGAGGACAAAGGAGGUUCAUGUGAAGGUGGCGGCGCGCCGGCGAUGGUGACAUCGUUGCCGGGUUGACAGUGAAUUUUUCUUUUUCCAAAAGUUUCGAACAUACUUCUCCCGAUGUCGUCUUCAAAUCUUCUAAUCGCUGGUGACUCUUCUCGAAAACUAAAAAAUAUUCCAAAUGUCGCCUUCAAAUCUUCGAAUCUGCAGGAUAGAUGGAAGAGUGAAUUUCGAAAACCCUAUUCGAGAAUAGUUGAAACGAGGAGAAGAUGGAGUGAAUUUCGGAACUACCCGAUUUACCUUCGUGGUAAAUUUCCCCAAAAAGUCCUUCAGCAUUCUGAAUCUGUCAAAUUAUAUGGUCC